UAAGAGCUGCAGAAGGAACAUCCCACUUGCGUCUGCUGACACAAAAGAAUGCUGUGGCUGGGAGAUCUUAUCGAGCCUUCCUGUGCCACAGCAACAGAGCUCCAGUUGUGUCUUGUAAGAAUUGGUCAUUGUUUCAUGGGGACGACUGGCUCCUUUGGGUGGGAUCUGAUGGCAUCUCAUGGAGUUGAGGUUGUCUGCCAACGCUAACUGGCCAGCUCUGACAGGAGGUGCGUGGCCCAGGAGGAGCCAUCAGGCCAGUUCUCUGGGAUACUGCUGUGUCUCCAGCUCUGCAGUUUGCUCUGCAUCACUCAGCGGCAGACGGAGAGGCAGACACGAGCCCCUUGUGAGCCCUCCUCCUUACCGUCAUCCCACAAUGCUCUGAAAUAAGGAGGCAAAUGGCUGAGGUCCCCUCAGUUGUGAGUAUCUUGCUUCCUUCCCCAAUGCCUCUUCAAACCACUUUGUCAAAAACAACAACAACAACAAAACAAAAACAAAAACAAACAGAUUCUUGUGUUCAUGAUACUAAAACAAAAUUGCGUAAGGUCUGUUGCUUAAGAUUAAGCACUGGCCGGGCACGGUGGCUCAUGCCUGUAAUCCCAGCACUUUGGGAGGCUGAGGCGGGUGGAUCACGAGGUCAAGAGAUCGAGACCAUCCUGGCUAAUACUGUGAAACCCUGUCUCUACUAAAAAUACAAAAAAUUAGCCGGGCGCGGUGGCAGGCGCCUGUAGUCCCAGCUACUCGGGAGACUGAGGCGGGAGAAUGGCGUGAACCCGGGAGGCGGAGCUUGCAGUGAACUGAGAUCACGCCAUUCCACUCCAGCCUGGGUGACAGAGCAAGACUCCGUCUCAAAAAAAAAAAAAAAAAAAAAAGAUUAAGCACUCAAAAAAAUGUCAAAGUUGGUCUUAAAAAUCUGGCUGUGGUUAAUGGGAUCAGCUGCAUUUUUCUUUAAAAUGAUGUAACCCAUCUCCUCCACUUUACUUUUGCAUUUGACUUUCCAACUUCCACGCGAAGGAACAGCAUGUGGUUUACUUGUGGUCAUAUGUUACAUGUUACUUUGGUGCUUUACAACUUUCAAAAAGCUUUUAUACAACAGUGAUAUCAUCAGUUCCUCAGAUAACCCUGUGAUGUGGGUAGGUUGAUGGAUACUCUAUCAUCAUUUCCCAUAUGAGGAAAGAAGAGUAAAUAAGUUACACAACAUGGACGAGGUCACCCUGCACUUCAGAGGUGGAACCAAAUUCCAACAGAAGCAUUGAAUUUCUAGACGAGUUUUUGUUUGUUUUUUAUCUUUUCCAUCACACCAAGCCGCCUCUGUGAAGGAAAAUUGUAUGCAUCUCCCUAAUCCAACAUUUUUCAUGUUAAUUAUCCACUAAAUUACAGCCACGAUUUGGUAGUCUCAGUAGCUAUUCUGGUUUGAGGACAACUUUUUCCAAAUUUCCAUAUUUUUUCUACUACUUUAUCAUUUUCUUCUCUACUUGGAAUUCCAUACUUAACAUUCACAACAACACCCUCUUUUAUCUUUCUUCUUUCUUCCCUUUCUCUGUUUUUUUCUUUUUCUCCCUUUGUCUCUCCUCUUUUUAUCUCUGCCUUUCUCUCUCUCCUUUUUGUGUGUUUAUUUUUGUUUUAGUUUUAGAGACAGGGUCUUGUUAUGCUGCUUGGGCUGGUCUCAAACUCCUGGGCUCAAGCAAUCCUUCUGCCUUAGCCUCUCAAAGUGCUAGAUUAUAGGCAUGAGCUGUCAUGCCCAGCCUAGUUUUGUUUGUUGAUUGCAUACUGAAAGUAACACAUGACUGGAAUAUAAGAGAACUGAGUUUGAGAUAUUAUAAUUUCACAUAACCUCUGUAGGUCUCUGUUGUUUUAUCUCUAAAAUUGUUUUUUUUUAAAUAAUGAUUUUCUACACAAGUGAAGAAGACAGAAGGGAAAAUGGGAUUUUUGUGCUAAUCAAAAAUAAUAUGUGGUUAAAAAAAUUGAGGGCUACCUAAUUUGUAGGUUUUCUUAUUUUAAGUAAUAGAUGAUAGGAUCAAAUCCAGGUCUUCUGUCUACAAGUCAAAUAUUUAGGAAGCUGCUGGAUGCAGUGACUUGCAUCUGGAGAGGCUGAGGCAGGAGGAUCACUUAAGUCCAGGAGUUUGAGGCUACAGUGAGCUACAAUUGCUCCACUGCACUCCAGCCUGGGUGACAGAAGACUCCAUCUCUAAAACAAAAUAAAACAAAACCAAAAACAAACAAACAAACAAAAUUAUUUAGUGAUUUUAUUUUUUAGUGACUUUGUUAGCCUUACCAAUAAGUUACUUUUACUUUUUUUUUUUUUUUUUUUUUGAGACAGAGUCUCGCUCUGUCCCAGGCUGGAGUGCCGUGGUGUGGUCUUGGCUCACUGCAACCUCUGCCUCCCGUGUUCAAGCGAUUCUCCUACCUCAGCCUCCCGAGUAGCUGGGAUUACAGGUGGGUGCCACCACUCCUGGCUAAUUUUUGUAUUUUUAGUAGAGAUGGGGUUUCACCAUGUUGGCCAGGCCGGUCUCGAACUGCUGACCUCGCGAUCCUCCCACCUCAGCCUCCCAAAGUGCUGGGAUUACAGGCAUGAGCCACCACGCCCGGCACCAGUAAGUUAUUUUUAAUAUGAAAUUCCAAGACAGGAUAUACAAAAUUUAGGAAAGAAAGAAGCCAGAAUUUUAACAAGCUACUCCUGUCUUCACUAUUAUUAAUACCAGAUAAUUUCUCAUAUUGAUGGCAUUUUUUUCUUAGAAACUCUAAUCUAACAGUCAACAAAAAAACUACAAUAAGCAAAAGAGGAUAUGAGACGAUUAUUCUAGCAUUCUAUUUUUCUGGUUCUCUUUGUCAAGCUAAGCGUUAUGAGGUAAUGGGGGUGUUUGUUCUGACUGGAAAUGUGUUGCAUUUAGAUAUUAUAUACAAAGGUUUUUCCUGGAAUAACAUCGUUAUUUAGCUAAAAAGCUAUAGCUCCAUAGACUUGUGUGCUCUGAACACAGCUGCAUAAUUAGUAAUCAUCAUUAAUCAUUUCUACUUCUGUACUUUUAUCACCAACAAAAUUAUAGCAACCUAUAUUUUUAGUAAAUUUUAAUUGCAAGUUUAAUUUGAUAUUUAUUUAUCACUAUAAGAAGCAGUUUGCUGAACUGAUUACACAAAUUUAAAAUGAUGUUUCUGAAGAUAGAAAUAAAACUUCCCACCAGGAAUAAACAGACUUUUCAAAAGAAGAAUAUCUGCCUCUUGGCAAAAAAAAAAAAAAAAAAAAAAAAAAAAAAAAAAAAAAAAAAAAAAAAAAGAAAAGAAAAGAAAAAGAAAAAAAGAAAGGCUUUUAAGUUUUUUCCACCUUUAAUGUGAAAAUGAGUAUUCAUAUGGGAUGGCUUUAGACUACCUAUUAGAAAAUGCAUAUCAAGUAAGAGAUGUAUAAUUUAUAGAGUUGAUUGCUUUGAGCAGAGAAGCUUAAAAAGGAGUUUUUGCAGCUCAGGUUGUUCUCAAGAGGCAAACGUAUGCUCAUUAUUCAGAAUUGAAACCUGCCUGUGAAAUACACAACAAAAAGGAAAAGAAACUUAGAGAAAUGUUUGAGAGGUAAAAUGUUUUACCACUCUUGGAAAAAUUUUCUUGCUUCUUUUCUGUAAGAAGGAAUGAGAUAGUUGUUAACACUCUUGAAAACUAUCUUAGAGAGUGAGGCUUGAACAGUUGAGGUUUUCUCAUGGGACUGUGCACUGAUGUUUUGUGGUGCUGUAUCAGUAUCUCCAGGCUUUCUUAGGUGGACAGUUGAAUGGAUGUGUCAACAGAAGCUGAGAAAUGUUCUCUCAGCCAGGCUUAAGACAUGAAAAGAAAACGGCUUUCUUCAUUUACAAAAUUGAGCCACGAAUAGACUCAAGAACAAAAGCCUAACAAGGAAGAUGAAUAACAUAGAAUUAUCACUGUCACUUACAUUAUGUCCAGAAUAACUGGAUUACAAAAGGCAAGUAAUGUUGUGAACAGCCCGAGAUAUGUGAGGAAACUCUCUGAUGAAGGCCUAUGCCCAAAUGUCCUGAAAUGGAAAUCUGAGACCUGUGAGUACAAAAGUGCCCUGAAUGUUCUUAACUGGCAGGGUGAAGGCAAGGGGAUGGGGCAGUUUCUAAAGCAGCUAGAACCCUUCAAUCACAUGCAAGGAACUGGUAAUCUGAAAAAACAAACCACCAAGAAAGAGUACAGAUAAAUGUCAUAGCAAAUCAAAUGGAACAUGAUAAGCCAAGCUCUAUACUCCUAUUAGAACAGGAAGUUCCAAGGAGAGAUACCUUGACUUUUAAAUAGUCUGCAGACACAAGCAAUGCAUUCUUCACAGGUAUCUUAUUUCCUGUUUUUGUUUUGUUUUGUUUUUGAGUUUUUAGUAUUUAUUUUAAUGUUUUUGAAAGAGAUACAUUUUUUCCAAUUUAAAAAGAAAGAGACAUGGCCAUCAAGAGUAGGUUAACAUAUAGCAGAAUACCAUAUAAAUGAAUUAGCUGCUAGCUACAAGCAGCAACUUGGAUGAAUCUUAAAAACAUAACAUUGGGGCUGGGCACAGUGGCUCAUGCCUGUAAUCCCAGCACUUUGGGAGGCUGAGGCGGGCAGAUCACGAAGUCAGGAGAUUGAGACCCUCCUGGCUAACACGGUGAAACCCCGUCUCUACUAAAAAUACAAAAACAAAAUUAGCUGGGCGUGGUGGUGGGUGCCUGUAGUCCCAGCUACUCGGAAGGCUGAGGCAGGAGAAUCACUUGAACCCAGGAGGCAGAGCUUGUAGUGAGCCAAGAUCACGCCACUGCACUCCAGCCUGGGCAACAGAGGGAGACUCUGUCUCAAGAAACAAACAAACAUAACAUUGGACAAAAACACAUCACAGUACAGUAUGUAUAAUAUAGUACCAUCUGUACAAAGGUCAAAGCAGGUAAAAUUAAACAAUAUAUUAUCAGGAAUCCAUAAAUAAGUAGUAAAGCUAUAAAGAAAAUCAAGGAACAAGUACCAUAAAUUUCAGGAUUGCUCUUAGUGGCGGGGAGAAGGAGAUGUGAUCAAGGAGGGCACAAAGGUGUCAAAUACUGGCAGUGUUUUGUUACUUAACGCUGCUGGUAGGAGCCUGAGUAUUCAUUUUAUUAUCUUUACACCAAUUAUAAAUGCUGUCAUCUACUUCUUUAAAUGUAUGAUUUGUAAGUUUGUUUCCUCAAAAAAGAUGAGUGAAGUUUCAAAAUUUUAUUUCAUUUAUUGAGAUCCAAGUAUCCCUAUUUUCUGAGGGUGGCCUUUAUCCAGAGACACCUAUGAAGAAACCCAACAUGCAGAGUUUGCAGAUCCAUAGACAAUGCUGCCAAAGUGUAAAAAAUAAAUAAAAUAAGAUAAAAAUCCGAAAAAAAUUAUUUUUUUUAAAGUUGGUAUCCAUAUAUAUGAACUGACACUCAAGGCCUUUUGCAACCUGAACCCAAUCUUUCUUUCUAAGCAGAUGGUAUCCCAGAACUUCCCAGUGGGACCUUUUCCUUGUUAAAUGUUAUUCCCUGGCCAAGCCUUACGUUUCCCAUGUUUGUGCUGUGAUUAUCUCAUUCCAUUUACCUGCAUUUCCCACCCUCUUGCUGAUUGGCCAUCUUAGUUUGACCUUUUCUGGGAAGCCACCUCCGUAACCUUUGUCUGAAGUGCUCUGGCUCUCUUGAGCUCUCAACAACUGCCAAUUUAAUUCUCCUAGCAGUUAAUCUUGGGUGCCCUGUAACAACUGCAUUUUCACCAACCAAACCCCUUUCCCUCCUGGGCAGAGAGCUUGACUUUAUUUUCUGUCUUCCCAUGCAGGUAGAUGUGAUUGAGUUCUAUCUACCAGAAGCAUAUGCCUCCUGGAAGCCUGGUUCUAACACCUCCCACAAAAUCCUUCAAGCGCUUUUUUCUGUUCCAAUGUUUGCUUAUGGGGGACCCAGUGAAGUGCUUCAGAGCCCUAGAGAUAUGCUGAGUCAUAUGAGGGGUCAGCAAACUUUUCCUGUAAAGGGUCAGAUAAUAAACAUUUUAAGCUUUGUAGACUGUA
Long non-coding RNA from Pan troglodytes (chimpanzee), 5986 nucleotides. RefSeq lists it as uncharacterized. The transcript has 2 exons. The record is from RefSeq and is a predicted model, not a curated record. Lineage: Eukaryota; Metazoa; Chordata; Mammalia; Primates; Hominidae.